AUCUACAGGGGCAGGUGAAAUUCCUUACCGGCGGUGAUAGUCCGCGAGCCAAUUUGGCCGAUUCGGUGUAAUUCCGAAACCGACAGUACAGUCUGGAUGAAAGUAGAU
Molecule: non-coding RNA, 108 nt
Filed under: pig gut metagenome
Description: FMN riboswitch (RFN element)
Rfam family: FMN riboswitch aptamer (RFN element)
About the family: The RFN element is a highly conserved domain that is found frequently in the 5'-untranslated regions of prokaryotic mRNAs that encode for flavin mononucleotide (FMN) biosynthesis and transport proteins. This element is a metabolite-dependent riboswitch that directly binds FMN in the absence of proteins.
Source: RNAcentral